Molecule: non-coding RNA, 145 nt
Organism: Gossypium hirsutum (cotton)
Lineage: Eukaryota; Viridiplantae; Streptophyta; Magnoliopsida; Malvales; Malvaceae
Source: Rfam
UGUUAAAAAUUUCAUCCAAUUCUACUGUUAAAAACUGGCAUGCCUAAUGGGAUGACUAGACAGUUACACGUGACAUGCCAUGUGUACUUUAUGUUGAUGUACAAUGAUAAAUUUUUAAUAAUAGAAAUGGGUGAAAUUUUUAACA